UACGUAGGGGGCAAGCGUUGUCCGGAAUUAUUGGGCGUAAAGAGCGCGUAGGCGGUCCGAUAAGUCGGCUGUGAAAGUCAAGGGCUCAACCCUUGGAAGCCGGCCGAUACUGUCGGACUAGAGUCCGGAAGAGGCGAGUGGAAUUCCCGGUGUAGCGGUGAAAUGCGCAGAUAUCGGGAGGAACACCAAUUGCGAAGGCAGCUCGCUGGGACGGUACUGACGCUGAGGUGCGAAAGCGUGGGGAGCAAACAGG
RNAcentral lists this ribosomal RNA (253 nucleotides) under uncultured bacterium. RNAcentral's name for it is "partial 16S ribosomal RNA". It matches the Rfam family "Bacterial small subunit ribosomal RNA", at positions 524 to 776 of the family's 1533-position model. The record is from RNAcentral.